GUAGGGAAUCUUGCGCAAUGGGCGAAAGCCUGACGCAGCCAUGCCGCGUGAAUGAUGAAGGUCUUAGGAUUGUAAAAUUCUUUCACCGGGGACGAUAAUGACGGUACCCGGAGAAGAAGCUCCGGCUAACUUCGUGCCAGCAGCCGCGGUAAUACGAAGGGGGCUAGCGUUGCUCGGAAUUACUGGGCGUAAAGGGCGCGUAGGCGGAUAUUUAAGUCGGGGGUGAAAGCCCGGGGCUCAACCUCGGAAUAGCCUUCGAUACUGGAUAUCUUGAGUACGGGAAAUUUGUGUGGAACUCCGAGUGUAGAGGUGAAAUUCGUAGAUAUUCAGAAGAACACCAGUGGCGAAAGCGACACACUGGCCCGUUACUUACGCUGAGGCGCAAAAGCGUCAAGAGCAAACAAGAUUAGAAACCCCUGUAGUCC
This 425-nucleotide ribosomal RNA is filed under the name uncultured bacterium. RNAcentral's name for it is "partial 16S ribosomal RNA". It matches the Rfam family "Bacterial small subunit ribosomal RNA", at positions 354 to 796 of the family's 1533-position model. The record is from RNAcentral.